UGUUGUAAAAACAAAGAAAGUAGAACUGAAUUCUACAAACCACUCUGUUAUACUAACAGACGUGCGGAACAAAGAAGAGCUGUAAGACGUACAGAGAACAAGAACUUUUACUGAAUAAUACUUUACUCUUUUAUUUCUCUGAUUCUCUAGUUCUUCUAGUUCAACUUUUCUCAGAAUGAGAUUACAUCACUUAUAUAGAAAACUAGAAAUGUAACUUACUCCCAUUACCCCAUGGACUCAUUAUUGUCCUACAUUAAACAUAAUUUGAAACCCCCAAAUUAAUACUAAAACCAAAACUGACAAAUACUUAAUCUCUCACAUUUAUUCUCUUUGACCAAGCAUUGAAUCACAUUUCAACA
Molecule: long non-coding RNA, 359 nt
Filed under: Capsella grandiflora
Lineage: Eukaryota; Viridiplantae; Streptophyta; Magnoliopsida; Brassicales; Brassicaceae
Description: long non-coding RNA (CGRA_LNC001562)
Source: RNAcentral